UCCGCGGCCACCUCUCCCGGCAGCAGAGGGGCCAGCUGGGCCAGCGGGAGAAAGGCUGAUUUUUACUCCUGAUUAGCAAUUGUGCGCGAGAGAUGUUUUCAGCUGAAAUAAUAUACAAGAGUUUCCCCAGAGAAAAUAUACACGCUCAGUUUUUUGGAACCACUUAACACAACCCGGUAGCAAGCAGACGUACAUUUGGAACCACAUAACACGUUUCUUGACUUGGAAGAACUGCCUGGUACAAAUUGAUGUCAUCACAAUAGAGAUUAAUGUGCCCGUUUUAUUAGCCUCACAGGCCGCAGGUGAAUGGUGAGCUAUUGUUAUUCAACUGGUUAAUAUUAUUUUUACAUAAAUCAAGGUAACGCCUAACAACGUCUUAAGUCUUUAAAUCAACCCGCCUUUUCCUAUUUGGAACAUGACGUUGGGCCCUUGCCAAGAGCGCCGGGAAACAGAGGGCCAAAAGUGGCAUUUCAAUAAGGAACGUACCCGUUCAACGACAGGAUGCCGGGCUCACGGCUCACAGCCCCUUGCCAACACACAAGCGAGUCUUGGGAGAAUUUCACAUUCGCGCUGACAGUGGCCUACGACUGCUGGAGGUUGGUCCUGGGAUGGAGCCCCGCGUCAGUCUCCCUGCUCAGCGUGGCAUCGGGCAGGAUAGAGGACGUCCAUGGUGCACAUCACGAAUUAACUCCACUUUCUGGACUUGAGAUACAGACAAGCAACACCUGGCUUCAUUUGAACCCCUGCCGAUAUAUUUUUCACCCAAGAAAUUUCAGAUUUCAACAAGAGAACCAUUCUCCAGAAUAACAACACUGAUGGGGAACUGAGCACACACAGAGCUCAUCUUGUGACGGAAGCCCAGGGGAACGCCCUCAACUGUGGUCUGGACAUGACCACGGACAGACGGUGCGAACGGUAGCCGGGUCUGUUCUAGCUCUCCACCAUUUGUCAGCUCGGAGCCUCUUUUUUUUUCUUUCCAAGGAGACUGAGUUCUACAUUGUUCCAAGGAGACUGAGUUCUACAUUGAUGUGAUUAAAGUCCCUUCACAGGGUUCCUCCGGGGCCCUUGAAAAUAACAGUGUGUCCCUUCAGAAUGAUUCCGACAUUUUCUGGAAUGUCGACAGUCUGAUUGCUGAGAACGGUCUUCGUUCCCGUAGAGAUGUGGCAAAGAGUGUAUGAAACAUUUCUGAAGAAAGAGUAUUUUAACGGAAUAGCGUUCAGGCAGAGGGACGGUGACGCUUGAGAGUCUGACUGCAUUUCUGGCUGGAUCCCGUACAAGUGUGCCUUUUAAUACAUUACUUUUAAUACAUAAUACAUUUUAAUACAUUACUAACUUGACUUCGAAGAAGACUCUUCUACUGAGGAGAUAAUUGUACAACCAGCCUGGUCUCCCUGUGAAGUAAGAAGCUUGAGUCAUGACUUUUUUCUUACAUGUGAGAUUUCAGACAUUCUGAGCUUGAACGAUUACAUUUACCCUGGACCUUCCCCUCCAACUUUAAGGGCAAGCAUUUGCUAAUUAAUUUAUGGUCGACCGGGAAAUCUGUCACGAUUGUUUUGUUGUUGUAUCUCUGACACCUGGCGUUCUACUUGGUAUUCAGUAGGCACUCAAUAAACAUUUAUCAAAGGGGGAAAAUGGAUAAGAU
Ursus maritimus (polar bear) is the source of this 1642-nucleotide long non-coding RNA. The record is from Ensembl. NCBI's taxonomy places the organism in Eukaryota, Metazoa, Chordata, Mammalia, Carnivora, Ursidae.